This 440-nucleotide ribosomal RNA is filed under the name uncultured Bradyrhizobiaceae bacterium. RNAcentral's name for it is "bacterial SSU rRNA". It matches the Rfam family "Bacterial small subunit ribosomal RNA", at positions 338 to 795 of the family's 1533-position model. Lineage: Bacteria; Pseudomonadati; Pseudomonadota; Alphaproteobacteria; Hyphomicrobiales; Nitrobacteraceae. The record is from RNAcentral.
CCUACGGGAGGCUGCAGUGGGGAAUAUUGGACAAUGGGCGCAAGCCUGAUCCAGCCAUGCCGCGUGAGUGAUGAAGGCCCUAGGGUUGUAAAGCUCUUUUGUGCGGGAAGAUAAUGACGGUACCGCAAGAAUAAGCCCCGGCUAACUUCGUGCCAGCAGCCGCGGUAAUACGAAGGGGGCUAGCGUUGCUCGGAAUCACUGGGCGUAAAGGGUGCGUAGGCGGGUCUUUAAGUCAGGGGUGAAAUCCUGGAGCUCAACUCCAGAACUGCCUUUGAUACUGAGGAGCUUGAGUUCGGGAGAGGUGAGUGGAACUGCGAGUGUAGAGGUGAAAUUCGUAGAUAUUCGCAAGAACACCAGUGGCGAAGGCGGCUCACUGGCCCGAUACUGACGCUGAGGCACGAAAGCGUGGGGAGCAAACAGGAUUAGAUACCCUUGUAGUC